AUGGAAGCAGAAUUAACUGCUUUGGACACAGCUACUGUUGAGGCAGAAUGGCUGCGUGAGCUCUUGAUGGACUUGCCGGUUGUUGAAAAACCUGUACCGGCUAUUCUUAUGAAUUGUGAUAACCAAACGGUUAUCGCUAAAGUGAACAAUUCUAAAGAUAAUGCAAAGUCAUCAAGACACGUGAAAAGACGUUUGAAGUCUGUCAGGAAGUUGAGAAACUCCGGAGUAAUAACUGUUACGUAUAUACAAAUAGACAAAAACCUGGCAGAUCCCUUUACAAAGGGACUAUCACAAAAUGUGAUAGAUAUUGCAUCGAGGGAGAUGGGUAUGAGACCCAUA
This 339-nucleotide ribosomal RNA is filed under the name Triticum aestivum (bread wheat). RNAcentral describes it as "partial small subunit ribosomal RNA". The record is from RNAcentral. Lineage: Eukaryota; Viridiplantae; Streptophyta; Magnoliopsida; Poales; Poaceae.